This 1167-nucleotide long non-coding RNA is filed under the name Rattus norvegicus (Norway rat). Its description in RNAcentral is "long non-coding RNA NONRATT033077". Lineage: Eukaryota; Metazoa; Chordata; Mammalia; Rodentia; Muridae. The record is from RNAcentral.
GGUGUGACUUCUCUGCUCUUGGCUCUAUUCCACUCACCAAUUAAUCACCUUACCCUAGCCUGACAAGCCAAGCUCCUCGCUGCUGUUCAUCCUCUGGCUGUUCCGGUGAUUGCUCUAAAGGCUUCCCCAGAUGCAAGAACCCAUCAGUUUCAGCAGCCUUUUGGGAAUGUUCGGCGCCUUCACCACAUGGUAAAACCGAGAAUAUUUUGAGCGGAUGGUUCUGGACUGAUUUCAAAGCUCUUGUUGGUGCGGACAUGUGCGGCCUUCUCCAGCUGCCCAGGAUUAUGAACAGUGGGGGUUACAUCACCACGUGGACACAGAAGGACAGCUGUAGGAGAACUGGGGAGGCACCAACCUGGCAUGAUGGAUAUGUGAACAAGAGAAGCUGGGAAAAGAUGUACAAGGAAGAUUUCAAUAAACUCAAAGAUGGAGAGGUAAUGGGGUAGGCAUAUGUGAGGGCCCAGACUGAAGAAGUCAGUUCUCAGUGUGCUGUAAUAGAAAAAUACUUUUAGAAAGUGGAACAUCAGGUUAAACGGGUAGAUUAGGGACUUGUGACACCAUGUAGGAAAAGUUAGAAUGAACAGAACAAUCUUUGCAAUGCACAUCCAUGAAGCAUGCUACCUACCCCAAAACUCUCACUGUGUCUUCUCUGUUUGUCUAUGUGGGUGGCAUGGCCAACAGUAUUUCUGUUUAAUAUUGGGAAAAGUGAGUCAUAGACAUUAAUGCAUUUUCCCAAGAUAACAAAGAUCAAGGGAGAAGGCAAGAUUAACAUAUAGAUCACCUAAGUAUAAAGAUUUGCAAACUUUCUGUAAGGGGACAACCAAAGCAUGCUUUCAUCUUUGUGGACCACACUGCAUCACCCACUUGCACGGAAAAGCACUCACAGACACUAUGUGAAUGAACAGACAUGGAUUUGUGCCAAUAAAACUUUAUUUAUAGUAACAGGCAAUAAGCCAGACUUGUCUGUGGCGGGCCUUUUCUAAUGCCUGGUCUCUACUCUUUCCACACUAUGGUUUCACAGAUGCUUUCUUAGGUAGUUGUUUUUUGUGUUCCCUGAUGGAUCCUUUGUGUGUAGAAUAGAGACUGACCUGAAAUCUAAGAGACUGAUACAUGUCUGUUGAUCAAGCAGAGCUUAUUUUCUUAAGUUUAAUACAAAGACCAACAACC